This 466-nucleotide ribosomal RNA is filed under the name uncultured bacterium. Its description in RNAcentral is "partial 16S ribosomal RNA". It matches the Rfam family "Bacterial small subunit ribosomal RNA", at positions 28 to 507 of the family's 1533-position model. The record is from RNAcentral.
GACGAACGCUGGCGGCGCGCCUAACACAUGCCAGUCGAACGAGCGAGAGAGAGCUUGCUUUCUCGAGCGAGUGGCGAACGGGUGAGUAACGCGUGAGGAACCUGCCUCAAAGAGGGGGACAACAGUUGGAAACGACUGCUAAUACCGCAUAAGCCCACGGCUCGGCAUCGAGCAGGGGGAAAAGGAGCAAUCCGCUUUGAGAUGGCCUCGCGUCCGAUUAGCUAGUUGGUGGGGUAACGGCCCACCAAGGCGACGAUCGGUAGCCGGACUGAGAGGUUGAACGGCCACAUUGGGACUGAGACACGGCCCAGACUCCUACGGGAGGCAGCAGUGGGGAAUAUUGCACAAUGGGGGAAACCCUGAUGCAGCGACGCCGCGUGGAGGAAGAAGGUCUUCGGAUUGUAAACUCCUGUUGUUGGGGAAGAUAAUGACGGUACCCAACAAGGAAGUUACGGCUAACUACGUG